Molecule: long non-coding RNA, 744 nt
Filed under: Homo sapiens (human)
Lineage: Eukaryota; Metazoa; Chordata; Mammalia; Primates; Hominidae
Description: HSALNT0033211
Source: RNAcentral
CAGACCUUGAUAUGGAACUACCACCCUCUUCUUUCCCCAUCCUCUGUCCAUAGAGCUGAGCUGAACAGAGUUACUUCCACAUUUUCUUGAAAUCUCUAAAUCCCGCUACUUUCAGGGACAUUUGUUGAGGAAAGCAAAGUUGACAAGCUAGGAUUUCUUUCAAAUAAACUGAGCUGAUGACUGUAGCAGGUGAGUUUUUUUUUCCCAUAGCGAUAAUUUUACAUUCUUUUCCUGCUUCUGAGAGGAGGAAAACGUUGCCAUCUUAUUUGACAGAUGCUCAGUAGUGUUUCAUCUUUAAAAAGAGAGAAUAUUUGUUAUUGCCAUCUAUGUAAUGAAAGAGUACUUAAAAAGAGCAGUCUUUUUUUUUUUUUUUUUUUAAGAGACAGGGUCUCUCUAUGUUGCCCAGGCUGGAGUGCAGUGACUAUUCACAGGUGCAAUCAGAGCUCAUCAUAGUCUCCAAACUCCUGCUCUCAAGUGAUCUUCCUGCCUCAGCUUACGUAGUAGUGGAGACAGCAGGGAAAACCUUGGCAUCCAGUGAUGAUGAAUCAAUGCUGCUGACAGAUGCAUCGUGUUGGGAUCCCAAUCAUCUAAUUCUUCCAUCAACAGAAAUGACAGGUGCCUAUGUUAAAAAGGGAAGCUGUGAGCAUAAACCUUCAAAGACCUACAGGUAAAAUGUACCCUGCAUUGAAAAUGUUUCUCUAAAUAAACAUUUUAUAAUAUUAAAAUUUUAUAUUAGAGUUUUUG